GGUCUGUAGAUAGUGUAGGUAAUAGGGUCUGUAGAUAGUGUAGGUAAUAGUAGGUAGUGUAGGUAAUAGUAGAUAGUGUAGGUAAUAGGGUCUGUAGAUAGUGUAGGUAAUAGGGUCUGUAGAUAGUGUAGGUAAUAGGGUCUGUAGAUAGUGUAGGUAAUAGUAGAUAGUGUAGGUAAUAGUAGAUAGUGUAGGUAAUAGUAGAUAGUGUAGGUAUUAGGGUCUGUAGAUAGUGUAGGUAAUAGUAGAUAGUGUAGGUAAUAGGGUCUGUAGAUAGUGUAGGUAAUAGUAGAUAGUGUAGGUAAUAGUAGAUAGUGUAGGUAAUAGUAGAUAGUGUAGGUAAUAGUAGAUAGUGUAGGUAAUAGUAGAUAGUGUAGGUAAUAGGGUCUGUAGAUAGUGUAGGUAAUAGGGUCUGUAGAUAGUGUAGGUAAUAGUAGAUAGUGUAGGUAAUAGUAGAUAGUGUAGGUAAUAGUAGGUAGUGUAGGUAAUAGUAGAUAGUGUAGGUAAUAGUAGAUAGUGUAGGCAAUAGUAGAUAGUGUAGGGAAUAGUAGAUAGUGUAGGGAAUAGUAGAUAGUGUAGGGAAUAGAGCCUGUAGGUAGUGUAGGUAAUAGUAGAUAGUGUAGGUAAUAGUAGAUAGUGUAGGUAAUAGAGCCUGUAGGUAGUGUAGGUAAAAGUAGAUAGUGUAGGUAAUAGUAGAUAGUGUAGGUAAUAGGGCCUGUAGAUAGUGUAGGUAAUCGUAGAUAGUGUAGGUAAUAGGGUCUGUAGAUAGUGUAGGUAAUAGUAGAUAGUGUAGGUAAAAGUAGAUAGUGUAGGUGAUAGUAGAUAGUGUAGGUAAUAGGGCCUGUAGAUAGUGUAGGUAAUCAUAGAUAGUAUAGGUAAUAGGGUCUGUAGAUAGUGUAGGUAAUAGUAGAUAGUGUAGGUAAUAGUAGAUAGUGUAGGUAAUAGUAGAUAGUGUAGGUAAUAGUAUAUAGUGUAGGUAUUAGGGUCUGUAGAUAGUGUAGGUAAUAGGGUCUGUAGAUAGUGUAGGUAAUAGUAGAUAGUGUAGGUAAUAGUAGAUAGUGUAGGUAAUAGUAGGUAGUGUAGGUAAUAGUAGAUAGUGUAGGUAAUAGUAGAUAGUGUAGGC
Oncorhynchus tshawytscha (Chinook salmon) is the source of this 1123-nucleotide long non-coding RNA. The record is from Ensembl. Lineage: Eukaryota; Metazoa; Chordata; Actinopteri; Salmoniformes; Salmonidae.